GUCUUGUGAAGGCUAGACGUAACCAAUGUCAUAUCUUCGCUGAAAUUGUUUGGUUUGGUGUAAUCAGCAGUUCGAAUACAAUAUGAAAGAAGAUUCUGUUUAACUCAUGUUUGACGUUGCAAAUUAGAAGUGAUUGCAUUUGAGGUCUAUUUGUGAUUUGUUAGCGAACCGUUAUACACAGAAAGCAAUUAAGGAUCAUAAUAUAGAUCUGAAGGAGAUUGAAAAAAACCAUCUUGGUUCUAAUGAAGAACAGAAGGUUCCACCACCAAAAAAUAGCUGACACAUAAUGAGGAGCCUCUGCAGUUUACUUUCUCCAUGUUCCGUUCUGCAGUGGGUGCCACAGCGUAAGAUACAAUUCGGCUGUAGCAAUGAGAUUGCUGAGAGCCAGUGGCAUAGUGAUGUUACAGACGUUUGAUAUAUACAGGUUAAAUUAUAAGGAAGCUGUAUUAAUGUCUUUACCUUUCACUCCACAUUGUUGUUGCAGUAAAUAUUGUGUAGAAUGUUUUAGCAUUUUUGAUCAUAUACAAAUAUAUGUUUAAAAAAGGCAGCGAGUUAUACAUGCAAUCAUGCCACAAAAUACUCCAUAUUGUUUUCAGUGUGAUUGUUAUGUAGAAGCAAACUCUGAACGUAAUUAUCACAAAGGAUUUCCCAAAAUAAAUUAUCUUUUGCAGUCAGCUUUGAGAGUUAAUAUCAGAUACCUAUAAAAUUUUCUUCCGUCAUAUAGAUAUAGUCACUUUUGCUGUUUUGUAAAUAAUAAAGGUGUAUGUGCUAUCAUCAGUAUCAAUUUUCCUAAUAAGUUGAUUUUUCUACCAAAGCAGCAUCUGUGCACUUUUGGUCUGCUACAAGAUUCUGUUUCAUAUAUUUGUGUGCUAAUACCUCAAUACAUAGUUUUUCGUAGUCAUUUCAUAUGUAAGAAAUGGAAGUAGUAUGAUUAGACUGAAGCUGUUCCUGGUAAUGGAAACUUUUAUGAUAUGCAGAUGUUUACUCAUGUUGAGGAAAUGGGACCAUAAAGCUUUCUAUUAUGAACCACUGCACCUGCUGGAUUGCAUUCGGUAGCAUAUCUUCUGCUUCGGCUGUAUCUGUUUUCAACAGUCCUUAAUUAAUGUCACUAAUUCUGUGGGCCACAUUAAUUCAUGCAAUUUUUCUUUUAUUCUUUAUUUUAAAUGUAUAUAAAAACUGAGUGUUCAGUAGAAUUAGACAGUAAUUCAUUGUUACCUAGAUGUGUAGUAAUAGAUUUAUUUUUACAAAUAUAAAUAUGUAGAUGUGUAUUGCAAGUGCUUAAAAACUUUGUUUUUCCUUCUUCAAUGAGCUGUGAUGUGUAUAUAUGCUUUACACUUUCUUGGAACAGUUACACCAAAAAGGAUAAAAUAAAUUAGCUAAUUCUGUUGUGUGGA
Molecule: long non-coding RNA, 1394 nt
Organism: Schistocerca serialis cubense
Lineage: Eukaryota; Metazoa; Arthropoda; Insecta; Orthoptera; Acrididae
Exons: 2
Source: RefSeq, a predicted model, not a curated record